AUUGAACGCUGGCGGCAGGCUUAACACAUGCAAGUCGAGCGGGGUGAUGGUGCUUGCACUACCACUUAGCGGCGGACGGGUGAGUAAUGCUUAGGAAUCUGCCUUUCGGUACGGGAUAACGUCGGGAAACUGACGCUAAUACCGUAUAUGUCUUUGGAUGAAAGAUUUAUUGACGGAAGAGGGGCCCGCGUCAGAUUAGGUAGUUGGUGAGGAAACGGCUCACCAAGCCUUCGAUCAGUAGCUGGUCUGAGAGGAUGAUCCGCCACACUGGGACUGGGGCACGGCACAGACUCCGACGGGAGGCAGCAGUGGGGAAUAUUGAACAAUGGGCGCAAUCCUGAUCCAGCAAUGCCGCGUGAGUGAUGAAGGCCUUCGGGUUGUAAAGCUCUUUUGCCUGCGACGAUGAUGACGGUAGCAGGAGAAUAAGCCCCGGCUAACUUCGUGCCAGCCGCCGCGGUAA
Molecule: ribosomal RNA, 460 nt
Filed under: uncultured bacterium
Lineage: Bacteria
Description: partial 16S ribosomal RNA
Rfam family: Bacterial small subunit ribosomal RNA
Source: RNAcentral